RNAcentral lists this ribosomal RNA (275 nucleotides) under uncultured bacterium. Its description in RNAcentral is "partial 16S ribosomal RNA". It matches the Rfam family "Bacterial small subunit ribosomal RNA", at positions 399 to 691 of the family's 1533-position model. The record is from RNAcentral.
GCGUGAGUGAUGAAGGCCUUAGGGUUGUAAAGCUCUUUCAGUGGGGACGAUAAUGACGGUACCCACAGAAGAAGCCCCGGCUAACUUCGUGCCAGCAGCCGCGGUAAUACGAAGGGGGCUAGCGUUGUUCGGAUUUACUGGGCGUAAAGCGCACGUAGGCGGAUCUUUAAGUCGGGGGUGAAAUCCCGGGGCUCAACCCCGGAACUGCCUUCGAUACUGGGGAUCUUGAGUCCGGAAGAGGUGAGUGGAACUCCUAGUGUAGAGGUGGAAUUCGU